AGAGUUUGAUCAUGGCUCAGAAGAACGCUGGCAGCGUGCAUAACACAUGCAAGUCGAACGCGAAAGGAUCCUUCGGGAUUUGGACGAGUGGCGAACGGGUGAGGAACACGUAAGAAUCUACCUUUCGGGUUGGGGAUAACUUCUGGAAACGGGAGCUAAUACCCAAUAUGCUGUGGAGUGAAAGAAUUUCGCCGAAAGACGAUCUUGCGUCUGAUUAGCUUGUUGGGGUGGUAAUGGCACACCAAGGCGACGAUCAGUAGCUGGUCUGAGAGGAUGGACAGCCACAUUGGGACUGAGACACGGCCCAGACUCCUACGGGAGGCAGCAGUGGGGAAUUUUCCGCAAUGGACGAAAGUCUGACGGAGCGACGCUGCGUGAAGGAUGAAGGCCCGUGGGUUGUAAACUUCUUUUCUCGAAGAAGAAAAAAAUGACGGUAUUCGAGGAAUAAGCAUCGGCUAACUCUGUGCCAGCAGCCGCGGUAAGACAGAGGAUGCAAGUGUUAUUCGGAAUGAUUGGGCGUAAAGAGUCUGUAGGCGGUUUAGAAAGUCUUUUGUGAAAUACUUCAGCUCAACUGAGGCUCCGCAAAAGAAACUUCUAUACUUGAGGGAAGUAGAGGUACAGGGAAUUCCCG
RNAcentral lists this ribosomal RNA (631 nucleotides) under uncultured prasinophyte. RNAcentral describes it as "SSU rRNA". It matches the Rfam family "Bacterial small subunit ribosomal RNA", at positions 8 to 672 of the family's 1533-position model. The record is from RNAcentral. Lineage: Eukaryota; Viridiplantae; Chlorophyta.